UACGUAGGGUGCAAGCGUUGUCCGGAAUUAUUGGGCGUAAAGAGCUCGUAGGCGGUCUGUUGCGUCGGCUGUGAAAACCCGAGGCUCAACCUCGGGCCUGCAGUCGAUACGGGCGGACUUGAGUGUUGCAGGGGAGACUGGAAUUCCUGGUGUAGCGGUGAAAUGCGCAGAUAUCAGGAGGAACACCGGUGGCGAAGGCGGGUCUCUGGGCAACUACUGACGCUGAGGAGCGAAAGCGUGGGGAGCGAACAGG
Molecule: ribosomal RNA, 253 nt
Filed under: uncultured bacterium
Lineage: Bacteria
Description: partial 16S ribosomal RNA
Rfam family: Bacterial small subunit ribosomal RNA
Source: RNAcentral